This is a long non-coding RNA of Myotis brandtii (Brandt's bat), 293 nucleotides long. RefSeq lists it as uncharacterized. The record is from RefSeq and is a predicted model, not a curated record. Lineage: Eukaryota; Metazoa; Chordata; Mammalia; Chiroptera; Vespertilionidae. The transcript has 3 exons.
UUGAGGAAGGCAGUGACGGAAAACGCCUGGCCUAUCACAUGACUGAUCUCCGCUGUCAUGAGCCAUCGUUCUCUAACUGCAAGCUUUCAUUUUCAAAGUCCUGGCAUGAUUUCAGGAGCUGUAAACCUUCAUAUGAAACAGAAAUGGAACAUGGUGAUGGAAGCAAAAGAAAAAGCCCAGGUUGAAAGGCCUGGGCUUCUUCAGAGGUCCCUCCCUGACCACGGUCUGGAGGCUUCUCAUGAGAGACUCCUACCUUGGGCAGCAUGUAGUCUCUAGGUCAUCUUUCCCAGGAG